GAUGAACGCUGGCGGCGUGCCUAAUACAUGCAAGUCGAGCGAACGGACGAGAAGCUUGCUUCUCUGAUGUUAGCGGCGGACGGGUGAGUAACACGUGGAUAACCUACCUAUAAGACUGGGAUAACUUCGGGAAACCGGAGCUAAUACCGGAUAAUAUUUUGAACCGCAGGGUUCAAAAGUGAAAGACGGUCCUGCGGUCACUAAUAGAUGGAUCCGCGCUGCAUUAGCUAGUUGGUAAGGUAACGGCUUACCAAGGCAACGAUGCAUAGCCGACCUGAGAGGCUGGUAGCCGACACUGGAACUUGGACACGGUCCAGACUCCUACGGGAGGCAGCAGUCGCGAAUCUUCCGCAAUGGGCGAAAGCCUGACGGAGCAACGCCGCGUGAGUUAUGAAGGUCUUCGGAUCGUAAAACCCUGUUAUUAGGGAAGAACAUAUGUGUAAGUAACUGUGCACAUCUUGACGGUACCUAAUCAGAAAGCCCCGGCUAACUACGUG
Molecule: ribosomal RNA, 497 nt
Filed under: uncultured bacterium
Lineage: Bacteria
Description: partial 16S ribosomal RNA
Rfam family: Bacterial small subunit ribosomal RNA
Source: RNAcentral